This 413-nucleotide ribosomal RNA is filed under the name uncultured prokaryote. Its description in RNAcentral is "bacterial SSU rRNA". It matches the Rfam family "Bacterial small subunit ribosomal RNA", at positions 505 to 918 of the family's 1533-position model. The record is from RNAcentral.
GUGCCAGCCGCCGCGGUAAUACGAAAGGGGCUAGCGUUGUUCGGAAUUACUGGGCGUAAAGCGCGCGUAGGCGGCCUUGCAAGUUGGGGGUGAAAUCCCGGAGCUCAACUCCGGAACUGCCUUCAAAACUGCAAAGCUAGAGGAUGCGAGAGGUGAGCGGAAUUCCGAGUGUAGAGGUGAAAUUCGUAGAUAUUCGGAAGAACACCAGUGGCGAAGGCGGCUCACUGGCGCAUUUCUGACGCUGAGGCGCGAAAGCGUGGGGAGCAAACAGGAUUAGAUACCCUGGUAGUCCACGCCGUAAACGAUGAGGGCUAGUUGUCGGGCGGCUUGCCGUUCGGUGACGCAGCUAACGCAUUAAGCCCUCCGCCUGGGGAGUACGGUCGCAAGAUUAAAACUCAAAGGAAUUGGCGGGG